GGGCACUUUAAAACUAAUAGCUGCCUCCCAACUUCAGUGUCCUUGUUUAUAUUUUCCGAUGGCUUCAGCCAUUUUAAUUAUUCAGAGCCAACAAGAGAGAAGAAAAGAGAGAGAGACCUAAUACCUAAAUGAUGCACUCAUACCACGUGAAAGUCAAAUCGUUCCAAGAUACAUUGUUAGAAGGGAAGAUUUAUAGGGGUUUAAAUCAAGGCAAGGCUGGGGAGGAGUGAGUGAGCUGCCUGGCACACCCCCGGGCGUGCCGCCGCGUGCUGUGGCUGGUGAGUACUAGUGCCUGUCGGAAAGUGCGACUUGGAUGUAGAAAGAAAAAAAUAACAUUAGUGUCGCUCAUUUGAAUUUUAGAAAUGUUGUAAUUCUGUUUGCAUUUAAUCUGUAAAUUUGCUUUUGGUUUCAUAGUCACAUAAGAGCUACAAGCAUACGAUUAUACCGAGCUUCAUGCUUCUACCUGCUUAAGUAAUAUAAUGAUAUUAACUUGUCAACACAGAGUCCCUGGGAGUAUUUUUCCCUUUAAAAGGAUUG
Molecule: long non-coding RNA, 537 nt
Filed under: Bos taurus (domestic cattle)
Lineage: Eukaryota; Metazoa; Chordata; Mammalia; Artiodactyla; Bovidae
Description: long non-coding RNA NONBTAT009665
Source: RNAcentral